Molecule: unclassified non-coding RNA, 573 nt
Filed under: Hevea brasiliensis (rubber tree)
Lineage: Eukaryota; Viridiplantae; Streptophyta; Magnoliopsida; Malpighiales; Euphorbiaceae
Source: RNAcentral
GGUGAAAACAAUGAGGUGAAAAUUCAAAAGAAAAAAAAUGUGUUUUUGAGAGGUUUCAAGGAGUACAUUGUUUUUUUAACCUAAUUUCAUUUGUGGUCAGUAACACUAUCACUGAAUAUCAGUGUAGUCACUAAAUUCAAUUUGUUACUGCAAUAUCAUUCAACUUUGUUCAACACUAUCACUGUCGCUUGAUUUUGGUAUAAUUUCUACAAUAUUUUGAGACCACAACCUGGUAAACUUUUGCUGAUUUAGUUGUACAAUUAGAAAUAGGCGAUAGAAUUUUGUUAGUUGAAACAUAAAAAAUUUAGCUAAAAUGUUUACAAGAAUUUGGAAAAAAUGACCUUAUUAAAACUAAAUCAAAGUGAUUUAUGUAUUAUAAAUUGAGGUUUAGUGAUUGUGCUUAAAUUCAGUGAUAUGUCAAGACCUUGAGUCAGAUAGAUGCGAGAAGGUAUAGGAGAAAUUCAAUGGCAGAAAUUCAAUGAACAAGAACUGGAUAGAGAAGAAAGAACCAAAAGAGAGAGAACUGUUAUUAAUCUUCAUCACCUGAACAAUACAAUCUGCUAGCUUAAGUAG